This is a long non-coding RNA of Drosophila miranda, 688 nucleotides long. RefSeq lists it as uncharacterized. The transcript is spliced from 3 exons. NCBI's taxonomy places the organism in Eukaryota, Metazoa, Arthropoda, Insecta, Diptera, Drosophilidae. The record is from RefSeq and is a predicted model, not a curated record.
ACACUGUCAAAAAAACAAUAUACGAGAAUAAAUAAUUAAACCCAUUUUCAUAUACGUUUCUCCCGAUAUUAUUCUCUAAAUUGAAAGAAAACAACAGGCAUAUAUUUUCAUUAGCUUUGAACUGAAAACCUUUUAAGAUAAGCCGAAGUUGACUUUUUCGGUAUUUUUCGUUAUUUUUAUAGUCCUGUUUGCCUUUAGUAUUUUCAACUAUAAGAAAGAUGAUUCUUGUUCAUCGCCUAUAAUCGUACAGCAAAGAAAAACAUAAACAACAUUUUCUUACCUUCUUCCUGGUUCUUCCACUUUUGCUGCAUUCUCUCUUUCUGUUCUUUCCUUGCCGUUUCCAUUCUGUCGUUAUAUUCACACACAAACACAAACAAAAGCACUAUUAAAAAAAAAAAAAAACAAACAGAAACACAAAUGAAUUUUAUAAUUUAUUCAUAUUUUUCUUUCCGCGAUCGGCUCUUUUUGUGCGCGAAUAAUCCACUAAUUUUUCCCGCAAGACGCACUUAGCACCAAAGACGCUCAGCUACAACGGUACAACAAAUGAAACGAGAAGGCAGCAAUUUUUGGUCGAAUAACAACAACAGAUCACCAAAAAAAACGGGACACGUUGACAUAUAUAUUUAGUGGAAGGCGCGGCUAAGAGGCAACGGUACAGCAACUGGAAUUUCCAAGCAACUCCACUCAA